Saccostrea cuccullata (small rock oyster) is the source of this 221-nucleotide long non-coding RNA. RefSeq lists it as uncharacterized. The record is from RefSeq and is a predicted model, not a curated record. The transcript is spliced from 2 exons. NCBI's taxonomy places the organism in Eukaryota, Metazoa, Mollusca, Bivalvia, Ostreida, Ostreidae.
AUGUCUCUCUACAACAUGGAAGUUGUAAGUAAACCGAAGUCCAAUAAUUACCGAAGAUACGACACCCCAAAGUUAAUGCGACCCUGCCUGAAAAGUUUUCGAUGUUGCCAUACACAGCUGGAGUUUUGGGACUGAUAAUCAGCUGAUUUUUCAAUCUUCCAAGAUAACAUGGAUGUCACCAUAUUUGUGUUUUCCUAAUAAAACUAUGAAUUUUUAUACAA